GAUGAAGAACGUAGCGAAAUGCGAUACGUAAUGUGAAUUGCAGAAUUCAGUGAAUCAUCGAAUCUUUGAACGCAUAUUGCGCUCUCUGGUAUUCCGGAGAGCAUGCUUGUUUGAGUAUCAGUAAACACCUCAACUUCCAUAUCUUUUUUGAAAUGGGAGUUGGACUUGAGUGAUCCCAACGCUUUUCCUCACCGAAAAGUGGCGGGUUACUUGAAAUGCAGGUGCAGCUGGACUUUUCUCUGAGCUAUAGGCAUAUCUAUUUAGUCUGCCUAAAAAACAGAUUAUUACCUUUGCUGCAGCUAACAUAAAGGAGAUUAGUUCUUGUGCUGACUGAUGCAGGAUUCACAAAGACGGCUUCGGCCGACUUUGUAAACUCGAUCUCAAAUCAAGUAAGACUACCCGCUGAACUUAAGCAUAUCAAUAAGCGGAGGA
This 432-nucleotide unclassified non-coding RNA is filed under the name soil metagenome. RNAcentral's name for it is "partial contains 5.8S ribosomal RNA, internal transcribed spacer 2, and large subunit ribosomal RNA". The stretch from base 1 to 120 matches the Rfam family "5.8S ribosomal RNA", at positions 35 to 154 of the family's 154-position model. The record is from RNAcentral.